CCCGGCCACUACAGCGGCUCAGCUGGGAACACCGGGAUCCAGGGCUGCCUCCCCUGCGAUGCAGGGUAUUUCUGCAAUGGCACUGGACUUGUGUCCCCCAGUGGGUUGUGUGAGGCUGGCUUCUACUGCACUGGAGGAAGCCUUUCCCCCAGACCUCCCAGGCCAACUGCCAGUGGAGGUCCCUGUCCCCCUGGGCACUUCUGUGAGGAGGGGAGCAGCAGAGCCCAGCCGUGCCCUGCAGGGACCUACAGCCCCUCCUGGAGGGGGAGCCGCUGCCUGGAGUGCCC
Molecule: long non-coding RNA, 287 nt
Filed under: Zonotrichia albicollis (white-throated sparrow)
Lineage: Eukaryota; Metazoa; Chordata; Aves; Passeriformes; Passerellidae
Description: lncRNA (ENSZALG00000004603.1)
Source: RNAcentral